Molecule: ribosomal RNA, 650 nt
Filed under: Micromonospora sp. BW6
Lineage: Bacteria; Bacillati; Actinomycetota; Actinomycetes; Micromonosporales; Micromonosporaceae
Description: partial 16S ribosomal RNA
Rfam family: Bacterial small subunit ribosomal RNA (bases 19-503)
Source: RNAcentral
UCUGUGGUUUGUGACCAUGCGGGGCGCUACCAUGCAGUCGAGCGGAAGGCCCUUCGGGGUACUCGAGCGGCGAACGGGUGAGUAACACGAUGAGCAACCUGCCCCAGGCUUUGGGAUAACCCCGGGAAACCGGGGCUAAUACCGAAUAUGACCUUGCACCGCAUGGUGUUUGGUGGAAAGUUUUUCGGCUUGGGAUGGGUUUCCCGACUAUCAGCUUGUUGGUGGGGUGAUGGCCUACCAAGGCGACGACGGGUAGCCGGCCUGAGAGGGCGACCGGCCACACUGGGGACUGAGACACGGCCCCAGACUCCUACGGGAGGCAGCAGUGGGGGAAUAUUGCACAAUGGGGCGGAAGCCCUGAUGCAGCGACGCCCCCGUGAGGGAUGACGGCCUUCGGGGUUGUAAACCUCUUUCAGCAGGGAACGAAGCGUAAAGUGACGGUACCUGCAGAAUUUUUUUCCUGGCCAACUACGUGCCAGCAGCCCCGGUAAGACGUAGGGGCGCGAGCGUUGUCCUGGAUUUUUUGGGGGCGUAAAGAAGCUCCCCCCCCCCGCUUUGUCGCGUCCACCCGUGAAAAAACCUGGGGGUUCAACCCCCCGGGCCUGGCGGUCAAAAACCGGGCAGGCUAGAAUUUCCGGUAGGGGAGAACC